This is a long non-coding RNA of Poecilia latipinna (sailfin molly), 397 nucleotides long. RefSeq lists it as uncharacterized. Lineage: Eukaryota; Metazoa; Chordata; Actinopteri; Cyprinodontiformes; Poeciliidae. The transcript has 3 exons. The record is from RefSeq and is a predicted model, not a curated record.
GCACGUAUACCGCCUGGUUCCCGUCACGUCAAGCUGAAGCUCCUUGGGGAUCCUCGACGGCGACAAACCCAUCGUCCAGAACAGGUAGAAGAAGAAGAAAACAAGGAGGGGAGGGUGAAAAAACACUGCUGUCUUCACAAGAUUGAAAUCCAAACUCUGUGAAUCUGACUUGGAAGUAUUUCCCCGCAACCUCAAACUCUCAGCAUGUUACUACCGUCCAACAGCCAGACUGCAUGGAGCCACUGAAUAGAGAGGUUCACUCCUCCUGGAUGUGACCGUAGCGACAGGAGACGAUCGCUGGCGUUGUGGUGUUGACUCUGCAGCAAUCCUUCAAACUGAGCAUGCAUGCAGUGACAGCGGAAAGGAAAACUCCCCUUUAACAGGAAGCAACCUCUGG